Molecule: ribosomal RNA, 253 nt
Filed under: uncultured bacterium
Lineage: Bacteria
Description: partial 16S ribosomal RNA
Rfam family: Bacterial small subunit ribosomal RNA
Source: RNAcentral
UACGUAGGGGGCAAGCGUUGUCCGGAAUUAUUGGGCGUAAAGAGCGUGUAGGCGGCCAGAUAGGUCAGCUGUGAAAACUCGAGGCUCAACCUCGAGACGCCGGUUGAAACCAUCUGGCUAGAGUCCGGAAGAGGAGAGUGGAAUUCCUGGUGUAGCGGUGAAAUGCGCAGAUAUCAGGAAGAACACCCGUGGCUAAGGCGGCUCUCUAGUACGGUACUGACGCUGAGACGCGAAAGCGUGGGGAGCGAACAGG